This 1298-nucleotide ribosomal RNA is filed under the name metagenome. RNAcentral's name for it is "bacterial LSU rRNA". It matches the Rfam family "Bacterial large subunit ribosomal RNA", at positions 1645 to 2925 of the family's 2925-position model. The record is from RNAcentral.
UACCCCAAACCGACACAGGUGGUCAGGUAGAGAAUACUAAGGCGAUCGAGAGAACUGUGGUUAAGGAACUCGGCAAAAUGCCCCCGUAACUUCGGGAGAAGGGGGACCAGUCCUGGUGACGACAUUUACUGUCUGAGCUGGGGUUGGUCGCAGAGACCAGAGAGAAGCGACUGUUUACUAAAAACACAGGUCCGUGCGAAGUCGUAAGACGAUGUAUACGGACUGGCGCCUCCCCGGUGCUGGAAGGUUAAGAGGACCGGUCAGCCACUUCGGUGGCGAAGCUGAGAAUUUAAGCCCCAGUAAACGGCGGUGGUAACUAUAACCAUCCUAAGGUAGCGAAAUUCCUUGUCGGGUAAGUUCCGACCUGCACGAAUGGCGUAACGACUUCUCUGCUGUCUCAACCACAGACUCGGCGAAAUUGCAGUACGAGUAAAGAUGCUCGUUACGCGCGGCAGGACGAAAAGACCCCGGGACCUUCACUAUAGCUUGGUAUUGGUGUUCGGUUCGGUUUGUGUAGGAUAGGUGGGAGACUGUGAAACUCGCACGCCAGUGUGGGUGGAGUCAUUGUUGAAAUACCACUCUGACCGUAUUGGACAUCUAACCUCGGACCAUGAUCUGGUUCAGGGACAGUGCCUGGUGGGUAGUUUAACUGGGGCGGUUGCCUCCUAAAAAGUAACGGAGGCGCCCAAAGGUUCCCUCAGCCUGGUUGGCAAUCAGGUGUUGAGUGUAAGUGCACAAGGGAGCUUGACUGUGAGACGUACAUGUCGAGCAGGGACGAAAGUCGGGACUAGUGAUCCGGCACCGGCAAGUGGAAGCGGUGUCGCUCAACGGAUAAAAGGUACCCCGGGGAUAACAGGCUGAUCUUCCCCAAGAGUCCAUAUCGACGGGAUGGUUUGGCACCUCGAUGUCGGCUCGUCGCAUCCUGGGGCUGGAGUAGGUCCCAAGGGUUGGGCUGUUCGCCCAUUAAAGCGGCACGCGAGCUGGGUUUAGAACGUCGUGAGACAGUUCGGUCUCUAUCCGCCGCGCGCGUAAGAAACUUGAGGAAACCUGUCCCUAGUACGAGAGGACCGGAACGGACGAACCUCUGGUGUGCCAGUUGUUCCACCAGGAGCACCGCUGGUUAGCUACGUUCGGAAGGGAUAACCGCUGAAAGCAUCUAAGCGGGAAGCCUGUUCCAAGAUGAGGUUUCUCACCACCUAGCGUGGUUAAGGCCCCCCACAGACCAUGGGGUUGAUAGGCCAGAACUGUAAGCACAGCAAUGUGUUCAGGUGACUGGUACUAAUCGGCCGAGGACUUAC